This 85-nucleotide transfer RNA is filed under the name Felis catus (domestic cat). It matches the Rfam family "tRNA". From Rfam's summary of the family: Transfer RNA (tRNA) molecules are approximately 80 nucleotides in length. Their secondary structure includes four short double-helical elements and three loops (D, anti-codon, and T loops). The record is from Rfam by way of RNAcentral. Lineage: Eukaryota; Metazoa; Chordata; Mammalia; Carnivora; Felidae.
GCCUGAGUGGCUCAGUUGGUUAAGUGUCGGACUUCGGCUCAGAUGAUGAUCUUACAGUUCGUGGGUUCGAGCCCCACAUCGGGCU